RNAcentral lists this unclassified non-coding RNA (253 nucleotides) under uncultured Euzebyales bacterium. Its description in RNAcentral is "contains 16S-23S intergenic spacer region". It matches the Rfam family "Bacterial small subunit ribosomal RNA", at positions 524 to 776 of the family's 1533-position model. The record is from RNAcentral. Lineage: Bacteria; Bacillati; Actinomycetota; Nitriliruptoria; Euzebyales.
UACGUAGGGUCCAAGCGUUGUCCGGAAUUAUUGGGCGUAAGGAGCUCGUAGGCGGUCUAUUAAGUCAGAAGUGAAAUCUCAGGGCUCAACCCUGAAAUUGCUCCUGAUACUGGUGGACUUGAGGUAGGUAGGGGAAGGUGGAAUUCCUGGUGUAGCGGUGAAAUGCGCAGAUAUCAGGAGGAACACCGGUGGCGAAGGCGGCCUUCUGGGCCUGUUCUGACGCUGAGGAGCGAAAGCGUGGGGAGCAAACAGG